AGCCACGGAGUAGCACUCUAGGGACAGUGACUCUUGGAAUAAGCACCUGCAAGCUGUAAACGAAGCCCAAAGUGCCACCAACCUGUACCCAAAGUACUACCCGCCUCCAAACUGUGCCCUAAGUGCCACGAGCUCC
Long non-coding RNA from Athene cunicularia (burrowing owl), 136 nucleotides. RefSeq lists it as uncharacterized. The record is from RefSeq and is a predicted model, not a curated record. NCBI's taxonomy places the organism in Eukaryota, Metazoa, Chordata, Aves, Strigiformes, Strigidae. The transcript has 4 exons.